AAGACCUUGCGCUUUUGGAGCGGCCGAUGUCUGAUUAGCUUGUUGGUAAGGUAAAAGCUUACCAAGGCUUCGAUCAGUAGCUGGACUGAGAGGACGGCCAGCCACACUGGGACUGAGACACGGCCCAGACUCCUACGGGAGGCAGCAGUGGGGAAUUUUGGACAAUGGGGGCAACCCUGAUCCAGCCAUGCCGCGUGAGUGAAGAAGGCCUUCGGGUUGUAAAGCUCUUUCAGCCGGAACGAAACGGUUACGGUUAAUACCCGUGACUACUGACGGUACCGGAAGAAGAAGCACCGGCUAACUACGUGCCGGCGGCCGCGGUAAUACGUAGGGUGCAAGCGUUAAUCGGAAUUACUGGGCGUAAAGCGUGCGCAGGUGGUUUUGUAAGUCAGGUGUGAAAUCCCCGGGCUUAACCUGGGAACU
This 423-nucleotide ribosomal RNA is filed under the name uncultured bacterium. RNAcentral describes it as "bacterial SSU rRNA". It matches the Rfam family "Bacterial small subunit ribosomal RNA", at positions 207 to 622 of the family's 1533-position model. The record is from RNAcentral.